GAUGAACGCUGGCGGCGUGCCUAAUACAUGCAAGUCGAGCGAACGGACGAGAAGCUUGCUUUUCUGAUGUUAGCGGCGGACGGGUGAGUAACACGUGGAUAACCUACCUAUAAGACUGGGAUAACUUCGGGAAACCGGAGCUAAUACCGGAUAAUAUUUUGAAACGCAUGGUUCAAAAGUGAAAGACGGUCUUGCUGUCACUUAUAGAUAGAUCCGCGCUGCAUUAGCUAGUUGGUAAGGUAACGGCUUACCAAGGCAACGAUGCAUAGCCGACCUGAGAGGGUGAUCGGCCACACUGGAACUGAGACACGGUCCAGACUCCUACGGGAGGCAGCAGUAGGGAAUCUUCCGCAAUGGGCGAAAGCCUGACGGAGCAACGCCGCGUGAGUGAUGAAGGUCUUCGGAUCGUAAAACUCUGUUACUAGGGAAGAACAUAUGUGUAAGUAACUGUGCACAUCUUGACGGUACCUAAUCAGAAAGCCACGGCUAACUACGUG
This 497-nucleotide ribosomal RNA is filed under the name uncultured bacterium. RNAcentral's name for it is "partial 16S ribosomal RNA". It matches the Rfam family "Bacterial small subunit ribosomal RNA", at positions 28 to 507 of the family's 1533-position model. The record is from RNAcentral.